Molecule: unclassified non-coding RNA, 392 nt
Filed under: fungal sp.
Lineage: Eukaryota; Fungi
Also listed under: 1 other name
Description: partial internal transcribed spacer region
Rfam family: Eukaryotic small subunit ribosomal RNA (bases 1-46)
Source: RNAcentral
AAGUCGUAACAAGGUUUCCGUAGGUGAACCUGCGGAAGGAUCAUUACAAAUCCACCGAGAAGAGCGGGGUGCUGGAGUGAAGCGAAACGAGGACGCGCGCGCGCAUAUGCGCACGGAUCCGUCGAGCCCACACCACGCCGCCACGCUCUCUCACACAAACCACGUUUAAAUGUUCGGAGGAGGAGGAGAGAGGAAGAAAGGGAGAGAGAGAAAGAGGAGAGAGAGGUAGGUGUCACAUCACCCACCCUCUCUUGCUCACUCGCUCGCCCCCCUCCUCGCUCGCCUCUCUCUUUUACAACACACACUAGUAUGAUCUCGUUGCUUCAGUUGUUAUAUACAUACACAAUGUAUCAAACACGAAACAACUUAUAACAAUGGAUCUCUAGGCUCUU